RNAcentral lists this ribosomal RNA (244 nucleotides) under Knoxdaviesia proteae. RNAcentral describes it as "partial ribosomal RNA large subunit". It matches the Rfam family "Eukaryotic large subunit ribosomal RNA", at positions 101 to 347 of the family's 3401-position model. The record is from RNAcentral. Lineage: Eukaryota; Fungi; Ascomycota; Sordariomycetes; Microascales; Gondwanamycetaceae.
GCAACAGCUCAAAUUUGAAAUCUGGUCUUCUGGGCCCGAGUUGUAAUUUGCAGAGGAUGCUUCUGGCAAGGUGCCUUCCGAGUUCCCUGGAACGGGACGCCAUAGAGGGUGAGAGCCCCGUACGGUUGGACACCGAGCCGUUGUGUAGCUCCUUCAACGAGUCGAGUAGUUUGGGAAUGCUGCUCUAAAUGGGAGGUAUAUCUCUUCUAAAGCUAAAUACCGGCCAGAGACCGAUAGCGCACAA